AUUGAACGCUGGCGGCAGGCCUAACACAUGCAAGUCGAACGAGUGGCGGACGGGUGAGUAAUGUCUGGGAAACUGCCCGAUGGAGGGGGAUAACUACUGGAAACGGUAGCUAAUACCGCAUACCAUCGGAUGUGCCCAUAUGGGAUUAGCUAGUAGGUGGGGUAACGGCUAACCUAGGCGACGAUCCCUAGCUGGUCUGAGAGGAUGACGAGCAACACGGGAACGGAGCAACGGCCAAGACUCCUACGGGAGGCAGCAGUGGGGAUCAUUGCACAAGGGGGGCAAGCCUGAUGAAGCCAUGCCGAGUGUAUGAAGAAGGCCUUCGGGUUGUAAAGUACGUUCAGCGGGGAGGCGUUACCCGCAGAAGAAGCAACGGCUAACUCCGUGCCAGCAGCCGCGGUAAUAC
RNAcentral lists this ribosomal RNA (406 nucleotides) under uncultured bacterium. Its description in RNAcentral is "partial 16S ribosomal RNA". It matches the Rfam family "Bacterial small subunit ribosomal RNA", at positions 29 to 526 of the family's 1533-position model. The record is from RNAcentral.